GGAAUAUUGCACAAUGGGGGAAACCCUGAUGCAGCCAUGCCGCGUGUGUGAAGAAGGCCUUCGGGUUGUAAAGCACUUUCAGUGGGGAGGAAAGGUGAGUGGCGAAUACCCACUUACUGUGACGUUACCCACAGAAGAAGCACCAGCUAACUCCGUGCCAGCAGCCGCGGUAAUACGGAGGGUGCAAGCGUUAAUCGGAAUGACUGGGCGUAAAGCGCACGCAGGCGGUCUGCUAAGCCAGAUGUGAAAGCCCCGGGCUCAACCUGGGAACUGCAUUUGGAACUGGCAGGCUAGAGUCUUGGAGAGGGGGGUAGAAUUUCCGGUGUAGCGGUGAAAUGCGUAGAGAUCGGAAGGAAUACCAGUGGCGAAGGCGGCCCCCUGGCCAAAGACUGACGCUCAGGUGCGAAAGCGUGGGGAGCAAAC
RNAcentral lists this ribosomal RNA (423 nucleotides) under uncultured bacterium. RNAcentral describes it as "bacterial SSU rRNA". It matches the Rfam family "Bacterial small subunit ribosomal RNA", at positions 358 to 773 of the family's 1533-position model. The record is from RNAcentral.